Molecule: ribosomal RNA, 492 nt
Filed under: uncultured bacterium
Lineage: Bacteria
Description: partial 16S ribosomal RNA
Rfam family: Bacterial small subunit ribosomal RNA
Source: RNAcentral
AGUGAACGCUGGCGGCAGGCCUAACACAUGCAAGUCGAACGGCAGCACAGUAAGAGCUUGCUCUUACGGGUGGCGAGUGGCGGACGGGUGAGGAAUACAUCGGAAUCUACUUUUUCGUGGGGGAUAACGUAGGGAAACUUACGCUAAUACCGCAUACGACCUACGGGUGAAAGCAGGGGAUCUUCGGACCUUGCGCGAUUGAAUGAGCCGAUGUCGGAUUAGCUAGUUGGCGGGGUAAAGGCCCACCAAGGCGACGAUCUGUAGCUGGUCUGAGAGGAUGAUCAGCCACACUGGAACUGAGACACGGUCCAGACUCCUACGGGAGGCAGCAGUGGGGAAUAUUGGACAAUGGGCGCAAGCCUGAUCCAGCCAUACCGCGUGGGUGAAGAAGGCCUUCGGGUUGUAAAGCCCUUUUGUUGGGAAAGAAAAGCAGCAGGUUAAUACCCCGCUGUUCUGACGGUACCCAAAGAAUAAGCACCGGCUAACUUCGUG